AGCGAACGCUGGCGGCAGGCCUAAUACAUGCAAGUCGAACGAACUCUUCGGAGUUAGUGGCGGACGGGUGAGUAACACGUGGGAACGUGCCUUUAGGUUCGGAAUAACUCAGGGAAACUUGUGCUAAUACCGAAUGUGCCCUUCGGGGGAAAGAUUUAUCGCCUUUAGAGCGGCCCGCGUCUGAUUAGCUAGUUGGUGAGGUAAAGGCUCACCAAGGCGACGAUCAGUAGCUGGUCUGAGAGGAUGAUCAGCCACAUUGGGACUGAGACACGGCCCAAACUCCUACGGGAGGCAGCAGUGGGGAAUCUUGCGCAAUGGGCGAAAGCCUGACGCAGCCAUGCCGCGUGAAUGAUGAAGGUCGUAGGAUUGUAAAAUUCUUUCACCGGGGACGAUAAUGACGGUACCCGGAGAAGAAGCCCCGGCUAACUUCGUG
RNAcentral lists this ribosomal RNA (433 nucleotides) under uncultured bacterium. Its description in RNAcentral is "partial 16S ribosomal RNA". It matches the Rfam family "Bacterial small subunit ribosomal RNA", at positions 29 to 507 of the family's 1533-position model. The record is from RNAcentral.